This 253-nucleotide ribosomal RNA is filed under the name uncultured bacterium. RNAcentral describes it as "partial 16S ribosomal RNA". It matches the Rfam family "Bacterial small subunit ribosomal RNA", at positions 524 to 776 of the family's 1533-position model. The record is from RNAcentral.
UCCGUAGGGACCAAGCGUUGUUCGGAUUUACUGGGCGUAAAGCGUGCGCAGGCGGUGAUGUAAGACAGGUGUGAAAUCCCCGGGCUUAACCUGGGAACUGCAUUUGUGACUGCAUCGCUGGAGUGCGGCAGAGGGGGAUGGAAUUCCGCGUGUAGCAGUGAAAUGCGUAGAUAUGCGGAGGAACACCGAUGGCGAAGGCAAUCCCCUGGGCCUGCACUGACGCUCAUGCACGAAAGCGUGGGGAGCAAACAGG